RNAcentral lists this long non-coding RNA (206 nucleotides) under Gossypium raimondii (Peruvian cotton). RNAcentral describes it as "long non-coding RNA (GRAI_LNC002019)". The record is from RNAcentral. Lineage: Eukaryota; Viridiplantae; Streptophyta; Magnoliopsida; Malvales; Malvaceae.
UUGAAUAAUUCAAGCCAUAAAUGUGAGAUGAUAAUAAUAAUAAUAAUAAUCAUCUUAUACAGGAAAUGGAUAGUGAAGGGUAUCACGGGAACGUAAUGAGAUUAAAUCCAAAGAAGGAAAAGAAAUUAUCAAAGCUAAACGUGGUCCAUGUUGUUUGCACGCCUCCUCUCUCUCUCUCUCUCCCUCCAAAGUUUUUGGAUUUGCAU